RNAcentral lists this ribosomal RNA (446 nucleotides) under uncultured bacterium. Its description in RNAcentral is "partial 16S ribosomal RNA". It matches the Rfam family "Bacterial small subunit ribosomal RNA", at positions 338 to 795 of the family's 1533-position model. The record is from RNAcentral.
CCUACGGGCGGCAGCAGUCGAGAAUCUUUCACAAUGGGGGAAACCCUGAUGGUGCGACGCCGCGUGGGGGAAUGAAGGUCUCCGGAUUGUAAACCCCUGUCAUGUGGGAGCAAAUUAAAAAGAUAGUACCACAAGAGGAAGAGACGGCUAACGCUGUGCCAGCAGCCGCGGUAAUACAGAGGUGUCAAGCGUUGUUCGGAAUCACUGGGCGUAAAGGGUGCGUAGGCUGUUUCGUAAGUCGUGUGUGAAAGGUGCGGGCUCAACCCGCGGACGGCACAUGAGACUGCGAGACUAGAGUAAUGGAGGGGGAACCGGAAUGCUCGGUGUAGCAGUGAAAUGCGUAGAGAUCGAGAGGAACACUCGUGGCGAAGGCGGGUUCCUGGACAUUAACUGACGCUGAGGCACGAAGGCCAGGGGAGCGAAAGGGAUUAGAUACCCUGGUAGUC